Molecule: transfer RNA, 42 nt
Filed under: Orcinus orca (killer whale)
Lineage: Eukaryota; Metazoa; Chordata; Mammalia; Artiodactyla; Delphinidae
Description: partial tRNA-Ile
Source: RNAcentral
CUGAUGGAGUAAAUAAUAGAGGUUCAAGUCCUCUUAUUUCUA